This 64-nucleotide transfer RNA is filed under the name Trypanobia cryptica. Its description in RNAcentral is "tRNA-Trp". Lineage: Eukaryota; Metazoa; Annelida; Polychaeta; Phyllodocida; Syllidae. The record is from RNAcentral.
AAGAAUUUAAGUUAAAAAAACUCCAAGCCUUCAAAGCUUAAAUUAUGUCUUAUCAUAAUUCUUG